Bombus impatiens (common eastern bumble bee) is the source of this 1264-nucleotide long non-coding RNA. RefSeq lists it as uncharacterized. NCBI's taxonomy places the organism in Eukaryota, Metazoa, Arthropoda, Insecta, Hymenoptera, Apidae. The record is from RefSeq and is a predicted model, not a curated record. The transcript has 2 exons.
CCAGAUCCUUACGUACAUUCGCGUAGAUUAACUUUUGAUACGAGACCUCCUCAGUCUACGUUGGAACCUCGAUUCGUACGCGCGAGCUGGGACACGUUGUACGCUUUCGGGUAUCAAAUUUCUAUUAGUGACAGCGAAUUACUUUAGUCUGCAGCGUAAGUUUUGGAGCGAGACAGGGUACUCGCGCAGCUGUAAAGUCGACGAACAAGUAGCCAGCCAGAGAACAAAAGAUCGGCCCAGCACUGGUGCGCUAACAGGGGGGAAAAUAAACGAGCAAACGAUCCAGAGAACAGCACAACUGUAUAGCUUGUUAAUUAUUAAUUAAGGAUGCGUUUGCUGCUAGCGAUCGUAGCUCUAAGUUUCUGGAUUUCGUGCAUUCGUGCCUAUCCUGCGAACGGUAUGAUCAAGAAUAAUCAGAAUCGGGACACCAUCUACUUUCCCGACCAAGCAGAAUACCUACGGCAUUCCAUGAAAUGUUCUAAGAACGAGAUUUUGUGGCCAUUUUAUGGAUAUAUUCGUCGGUGUUACAGAGAAGGCGAACAAGGUCCCUGCAAUAUCGGCAGAAUUUUGGUUUUUGAUAAGAGAUACAUGAAACCUGUUUGCAAAGAGAUGACAUUGAAAUAAACAACCGAGGGUUGCAGAUACUGCUCUUACCGAUUCGACGGAAUUCUGGCAAAGAUGUCAGCAGGAAUACAGUAGUUGCACUCGAUAUACUUUGAAUAUUAGUUCGAGUUUAUAAUUCUUUUUUUUUUUAAUAUAGAGUAACAAUAACUAAUUUUAUAUAUUUAUAUUUUGUAUUUGUAUUCAUAUUAUAUAUUGUAUAUUUAUAAUAUAUAUUAUAUAUAUACAAUAUAAUAAACAUAAUAGUUUAACUUCAUUCAAUUUUAACUCUUAUUUCAUUUAUACAGAGAAAGUAACUUUGUGAUAUGUCUGACUGCAUAGUAUAUUGGAUUAAUUUAAUAUGAUGCGUCAAUAUGGAAUGUUUGGCAAUAUGUAAAAUUCAACAUAUUUGUAGAAUUACAAAUUAUUUAAGAAAUUCCCACAUCGACUGAUUUAUCACAUAACUCCAGUAAUUUACGUAGUUGGAUAUAUUCAUGUACGUGUAACAUACUCUUUCAUUUGUUCAUAUGUAUACUCAAUACUUUCUAUAGUUCUAGUAUAGUAGUAUCUCUUUUAUACUGUGUCAAUAAUAAAUCGUUGAAAAAUAGAAUUUGUUGUGAAUUAAAUUCGCUACCAAUUUUGGUUUCAAAUUAAUAGCGAUUAA